GGUUAAGCGACUAAGCGUACACGGUGGAUGCCCUGGCAGUCAGAGGCGAUGAAGGACGUGCUAAUCUGCGAUAAGCGUCGGUAAGGUGAUAUGAACCGUUAUAACCGGCGAUUUCCGAAUGGGGAAACCCAGUGUGUUUCGACACACUAUCAUUAACUGAAUCCAUAGGUUAAUGAGGCGAACCGGGGGAACUGAAACAUCUAAGUACCCCGAGGAAAAGAAAUCAACCGAGAUUCCCCCAGUAGCGGCGAGCGAACGGGGAGCAGCCCAGAGCCUGAAUCAGUGUGUGUGUUAGUGGAAGCGUCUGGAAAGGCGCGCGAUACAGGGUGACAGCCCCGUACACAAAAAUGCACAUGCUGUGAGCUCGAUGAGUAGGGCGGGACACGUGGUAUCCUGUCUGAAUAUGGGGGGACCAUCCUCCAAGGCUAAAUACUCCUGACUGACCGAUAGUGAACCAGUACCGUGAGGGAAAGGCGAAAAGAACCCCGGCGAGGGGAGUGAAAAAGAACCUGAAACCGUGUACGUACAAGCAGUGGGAGCACGCUUAGGCGUGUGACUGCGUACCUUUUGUAUAAUGGGUCAGCGACUUAUAUUCUGUAGCAAGGUUAACCGAAUAGGGGAGCCGAAGGGAAACCGAGUCUUAACUGGGCGUUAAGUUGCAGGGUAUAGACCCGAAACCCGGUGAUCUAGCCAUGGGCAGGUUGAAGGUUGGGUAACACUAACUGGAGGACCGAACCGACUAAUGUUGAAAAAUUAGCGGAUGACUUGUGGCUGGGGGUGAAAGGCCAAUCAAACCGGGAGAUAGCUGGUUCUCCCCGAAAGCUAUUUAGGUAGCGCCUCGUGAAUUCAUCUCCGGGGGUAGAGCACUGUUUCGGCAAGGGGGUCAUCCCGACUUACCAACCCGAUGCAAACUGCGAAUACCGGAGAAUGUUAUCACGGGAGACACACGGCGGGUGCUAACGUCCGUCGUGAAGAGGGAAACAACCCAGACCGCCAGCUAAGGUCCCAAAGUCAUGGUUAAGUGGGAAACGAUGUGGGAAGGCCCAGACAGCCAGGAUGUUGGCUUAGAAGCAGCCAUCAUUUAAAGAAAGCGUAAUAGCUCACUGGUCGAGUCGGCCUGCGCGGAAGAUGUAACGGGGCUAAACCAUGCACCGAAGCUGCGGCAGCGACGCUUAUGCGUUGUUGGGUAGGGGAGCGUUCUGUAAGCCUGUGAAGGUGUGCUGUGAGGCAUGCUGGAGGUAUCAGAAGUGCGAAUGCUGACAUAAGUAACGAUAAAGCGGGUGAAAAGCCCGCUCGCCGGAAGACCAAGGGUUCCUGUCCAACGUUAAUCGGGGCAGGGUGAGUCGACCCCUAAGGCGAGGCCGAAAGGCGUAGUCGAUGGGAAACAGGUUAAUAUUCCUGUACUUGGUGUUACUGCGAAGGGGGGACGGAGAAGGCUAUGUUGGCCGGGCGACGGUUGUCCCGGUUUAAGCGUGUAGGCUGGUUUUCCAGGCAAAUCCGGAAAAUCAAGGCUGAGGCGUGAUGACGAGGCACUACGGUGCUGAAGCAACAAAUGCCCUGCUUCCAGGAAAAGCCUCUAAGCAUCAGGUAACAUCAAAUCGUACCCCAAACCGACACAGGUGGUCAGGUAGAGAAUACCAAGGCGCUUGAGAGAACUCGGGUGAAGGAACUAGGCAAAAUGGUGCCGUAACUUCGGGAGAAGGCACGCUGAUAUGUAGGUGAAGUCCCUCGCGGAUGGAGCUGAAAUCAGUCGAAGAUACCAGCUGGCUGCAACUGUUUAUUAAAAACACAGCACUGUGCAAACACGAAAGUGGACGUAUACGGUGUGACGCCUGCCCGGUGCCGGAAGGUUAAUUGAUGGGGUCAGCGCAAGCGAAGCUCUUGAUCGAAGCCCCGGUAAACGGCGGCCGUAACUAUAACGGUCCUAAGGUAGCGAAAUUCCUUGUCGGGUAAGUUCCGACCUGCACGAAUGGCGUAAUGAUGGCCAGGCUGUCUCCACCCGAGACUCAGUGAAAUUGAACUCGCUGUGAAGAUGCAGUGUACCCGCGGCAAGACGGAAAGACCCCGUGAACCUUUACUAUAGCUUGACACUGAACAUUGAGCCUUGAUGUGUAGGAUAGGUGGGAGGCUUUGAAGUGUGGACGCCAGUCUGCAUGGAGCCGACCUUGAAAUACCACCCUUUAAUGUUUGAUGUUCUAACGUUGACCCGUGAUCCGGGUUGCGGACAGUGUCUGGUGGGUAGUUUGACUGGGGCGGUCUCCUCCUAAAGAGUAACGGAGGAGCACGAAGGUUGGCUAAUCCUGGUCGGACAUCAGGAGGUUAGUGCAAUGGCAUAAGCCAGCUUGACUGCGAGCGUGACGGCGCGAGCAGGUGCGAAAGCAGGUCAUAGUGAUCCGGUGGUUCUGAAUGGAAGGGCCAUCGCUCAACGGAUAAAAGGUACUCCGGGGAUAACAGGCUGAUACCGCCCAAGAGUUCAUAUCGACGGCGGUGUUUGGCACCUCGAUGUCGGCUCAUCACAUCCUGGGGCUGAAGUAGGUCCCAAGGGUAUGGCUGUUCGCCAUUUAAAGUGGUACGCGAGCUGGGUUUAGAACGUCGUGAGACAGUUCGGUCCCUAUCUGCCGUGGGCGCUGGAGAAUUGAGGGGGGCUGCUCCUAGUACGAGAGGACCGGAGUGGACGCAUCACUGGUGUUCGGGUUGUCAUGCCAAUGGCACUGCCCGGUAGCUAAAUGCGGAAGAGAUAAGUGCUGAAAGCAUCUAAGCACGAAACUUGCCCCGAGAUGAGUUCUCCCUGACCCUUUAAGGGUCCUGAAGGAACGUUGAAGACGACGACGUUGAUAGGCCGGGUGUGUAAGCGCAGCGAUGCGUUGAGCUAACCGGUACUAAUGAACCGUGAGGCUUAACCUU
This 2904-nucleotide ribosomal RNA is filed under the name Escherichia coli. Its description in RNAcentral is "23S ribosomal RNA". It matches the Rfam family "Bacterial large subunit ribosomal RNA". The record is from RNAcentral. Lineage: Bacteria; Pseudomonadati; Pseudomonadota; Gammaproteobacteria; Enterobacterales; Enterobacteriaceae.